This 281-nucleotide ribosomal RNA is filed under the name Enterococcus faecalis. RNAcentral's name for it is "partial 16S ribosomal RNA". It matches the Rfam family "Bacterial small subunit ribosomal RNA", at positions 128 to 402 of the family's 1533-position model. The record is from RNAcentral. Lineage: Bacteria; Bacillati; Bacillota; Bacilli; Lactobacillales; Enterococcaceae.
ACCCAUCAGAGGGGGAUAACACUUGGAAACAGGUGCUAAUACCGCAUAACAGUUUAUGCCGCAUGGCAUAAGAGUGAAAGGCGCUUUCGGGUGUCGCUGAUGGAUGGNCCCGCGGUGCAUUAGCUAGUUGGUGAGGUAACGGCUCACCAAGGCCNCGAUGCAUAGCCGACCUGAGAGGGUGAUCGGCCACACUGGGACUGAGACACGGCCCAGACUCCUACGGGAGGCAGCAGUAGGGAAUCUUCGGCAAUGGACGAAAGUCUGACCGAGCAACGCCGCGU